GCCCUCGUAGCAUAACGGAUGAUGCACCUCUCUAACUAAGUGGACGAUGUGGGCUCGACUCCCGCCGAGGGCG
Molecule: transfer RNA, 73 nt
Filed under: Candidatus Omnitrophota bacterium
Lineage: Bacteria; Pseudomonadati; Candidatus Omnitrophota
Description: tRNA-Val
Rfam family: tRNA
About the family: Transfer RNA (tRNA) molecules are approximately 80 nucleotides in length. Their secondary structure includes four short double-helical elements and three loops (D, anti-codon, and T loops). Further hydrogen bonds mediate the characteristic L-shaped molecular structure. tRNAs have two regions of fundamental functional importance: the anti-codon, which is responsible for specific mRNA codon recognition, and the 3' end, to which the tRNAs corresponding amino acid is attached (by aminoacyl-tRNA synthetases). tRNAs cope with the degeneracy of the genetic code in two manners: having more than one tRNA (with a specific anti-codon) for a particular amino acid; and 'wobble' base-pairing, i.e. permitting non-standard base-pairing at the 3rd anti-codon position.
Source: RNAcentral